GACGAACGCUGGCGGCGUGCCUAAUACAUGCAAGUUGAGCGCUGAAGGUUGGUACUUGUACCAACUGGAUGAGCAGCGAACGGGUGAGUAACGCGUGGGGAAUCUGCCUUUGAGCGGGGGACAACAUUUGGAAACGAAUGCUAAUACCGCAUAAAAACUUUAAACACAAGUUUUAAGUUUGAAAGAUGCAAUUGCAUCACUCAAAGAUGACCCCGCGUUGUAUUAGCUAGUUGGUGAGGUAAAGGCUCACCAAGGCGAUGAUACAUAGCCGACCUGAGAGGGUGAUCGGCCACAUUGGGACUGAGACACGGCCCAAACUCCUACGGGAGGCAGCAGUAGGGAAUCUUCGGCAAUGGACGAAAGUCUGACCGAGCAACGCCGCGUGAGUGAAGAAGGGUUUCGGAUCGUAAAACUCUGUUGGUAGAGAAGAACGUUGGUGAGAGUGGAAAGCUCAUCAAGUGACGGUAACUACCCAGAAAGGGACGGCUAACUACGUG
Molecule: ribosomal RNA, 497 nt
Filed under: uncultured bacterium
Lineage: Bacteria
Description: partial 16S ribosomal RNA
Rfam family: Bacterial small subunit ribosomal RNA
Source: RNAcentral